GUGGCUCAGUGGUAGAGUGCUUGCCUUGCAUGCAUGAGGCCCUGGGUUUGAUUCCCCAGC
Non-coding RNA from Dipodomys ordii (Ord's kangaroo rat), 60 nucleotides. The record is from Rfam. Lineage: Eukaryota; Metazoa; Chordata; Mammalia; Rodentia; Heteromyidae.